AGCGAACGCUGGCGGCAGGCCUAACACAUGCAAGUCGAACGAACUCUUCGGAGUUAGUGGCGGACGGGUGAGUAACACGUGGGAACGUGCCUUUAGGUUCGGAAUAACUCAGGGAAACUUGAGCUAAUACCGGAUGUGCCCUUCGGGGGAAAGAUUUAUCGCCUUUAGAGCGGCCCGCGUCUGAUAGCUAGUUGGUGAGGUAAAGGCUCACCAAGGCGACGAUCAGUAGCUGGUCUGAGAGGAUGAUCAGCCACAUUGGGACUGAGACACGGCCCAAACUCCUACGGGAGGCAGCAGUGGGGAAUCUUGCGCAAUGGGCGAAAGCCUGACGCAGCCAUGCCGCGUGAAUGAUGAAGGUCUUAGGAUUGUAAAAUUCUUUCACCGGGGACGAUAAUGACGGUACCCGGAGAAGAAGCCCCGGCUAACUUCGUG
RNAcentral lists this ribosomal RNA (432 nucleotides) under uncultured bacterium. RNAcentral describes it as "partial 16S ribosomal RNA". It matches the Rfam family "Bacterial small subunit ribosomal RNA", at positions 29 to 507 of the family's 1533-position model. The record is from RNAcentral.